Molecule: long non-coding RNA, 137 nt
Filed under: Ictidomys tridecemlineatus (thirteen-lined ground squirrel)
Lineage: Eukaryota; Metazoa; Chordata; Mammalia; Rodentia; Sciuridae
Description: lncRNA (ENSSTOG00000031606.1)
Source: RNAcentral
CAUUUGGCAGCUGGGAGGAACGAAUCAGAGUCCACAUUCUUUGAGAACCACAGCCACUGCCCUCCUGCGAAGGCCACUUGACAGGAGAAGGUAGAAAGAAGCCCAGAGAUGGCCAGCAGCGGGUGGGCAGUCAGAGC